GGAGAAUGAGGAUGAGAAUUAAAGAAGUCAGGCGUCCACCUGGAGAAUGAGGAUGAGAAAAGAAGAAGUCAGGCGUCCACCUGGAGAAUGAGGAUGAGAAAAAAAGAAGUCAGGCGUCCACCUGGAGAAUGAGGAUGAGAAAAGAAGAAGUCAGGCGUCCACCUGGAGAAUGAGGAUGAGAAUUGAAGAAGUCAGGCGUCCACCUGGAGAAUGAGGAUGAAGAAGUUAAGAAGAAGUCAGGCGUCCACCUGGAGAAUGAGGAUGAGAAAAGAAGAAGUCAGGCGUCCACCUGGAGAAUGAGGAUGAGAAAAGAAGAAGUCAGGCGUCCACCUGGAGAAUGAGGAUGAGAAAAGAAGAAGUCAGGCGUCCACCUGGAGAAUGAGGAUGAGAAUUAAAGAAGUCAGGCGUCCACCUGGAGAAUGAGGAUGAGAAUUAAAGAAGUCAGGCGUCCACCUGGAGAAUGAGGAUGAGAAAAGAAGAAGUCAGGCGUCCAUCUGGAGAAUGAGGAUGAGAAUUAAAGAAGUCAGGCGUCCACCUGGAGAAUGAGGAUGAAGAAGUUAAGAAGAAGUCAGGCGUCCACCUGGAGAAUGAGGAUGAAGAAUUGAAGAAGUCAGGCGUCCACCUGGAGAAUGAGGAUGAGAAAAGAAGAAGUCAGGCGUCCACCUGGAGAAUGAGGAUGAGAAAAGAAGAAGUCAGGCGUCCACCUGGAGAAUGAGGAUAAGAAAAGAAGAAUCAGGCGUCCACCUGGAGAAUGAGGAUGAGAAAAGAAGAAGUCAGGCGUCCACCUGGAGAAUGAGGAUGAGAAUUAAAGAAGUCAGGCAUCCACCUGGAGAAUGAGGAUGAUAAUUAAGAAGUCAGGCGUCCACCUGGAGAAUGAGGAUGAGAAAAGAAGAAGUCAGGCGUCCACCAGGAGAAUGAGGAUGAGAAUUAAAGAAGUCAGGCGUCCACCUGGAGAAUGGGGAUGAGAAUUAAAGAAGUCAGGCGUCCACCUGGAGAAUGAGGAUGAGAAAAGAAGAAAUCAGGCGUCCACCUGGAGAAUGAGGAUGAGAAUAAAAGAAGUCAGGCGUCCACCUGGAGAAUGAGGAUGAGAAAAGAAGAAGUCAGGUGUCCACCUGGAGAAUGAGGAUGAGAAAAGAAGAAGUCAGGCGUCCACCUGGAGAAUGAGGAUGAGAAUUAAAGAAGUCAGGCGUCCACCUGGAGAAUGAGGAUGAGAAUUAAAAGAAGUCAGGCGUCCACCUGGAGAAUGAGGAUGAGAAUUAAAGAAGUCAGGCAUCCACCUGGAGAAUGAGGAUGAGAAAAGAAGAAAUCAGGCGUCCACCUGGAGAAUGAGGAUGAGAAAAGAAGAAGUCAGGCGUCCACCUGGAGAAUGAGGAUGAGAAUUAAAGAAAUCAGGCGUCCACCUGGAGAAUGAGGAUGAGAAUUAAAGAAGUCAGGCGUCCACCUGGAGAAUGAGGAUGAGAAAAGAAGAAGUCAGGCGUCCACCUGGAGAAUGAGGAUGAGAAUUAAAGAAGUCAGGCGUCCACCUGGAGAAUGAGGGUGAGAAUUAAAAGAAGUCAGGUGUCCACCUGGAGAAUGAGGAUGAAG
Molecule: long non-coding RNA, 1584 nt
Filed under: Nicotiana tabacum (common tobacco)
Lineage: Eukaryota; Viridiplantae; Streptophyta; Magnoliopsida; Solanales; Solanaceae
Description: long non-coding RNA (NTAB_LNC012678)
Source: RNAcentral